AACGAACGCUGGCGGCAGGCUUAACACAUGCAAGUCGAGCGAGACCUUCGGGUCUAGCGGCGGACGGGUGAAUAACGCGUGGGAACGUGCCCUUCUCUACGGAAUAGCCCCGGGAAACUGGGAGUAAUACCGUAUACGCCCUUUGGGGGAAAGAUUUAUCGGAGAAGGAUCGGCCCGCGUUGGAUUAGGUAGUUGGUGGGGUAAUGGCCCACCAAGCCGACGAUCCAUAGCUGGUUUGAGAGGAUGAUCAGCCACACUGGGACUGAGACACGGCCCAGACUCCUACGGGAGGCAGCAGUGGGGAAUCUUAGACAAUGGGGGCAACCCUGAUCUAGCCAUGCCGCGUGAGUGAUGAAGGCCUUAGGGUUGUAAAGCUCUUUCAGCUGGGAAGAUAAUGACGGUACCAGCAGAAGAAGCCCCGGCUAACUCCGUGCCAGCAGCCGCGGUAA
RNAcentral lists this ribosomal RNA (449 nucleotides) under uncultured bacterium. Its description in RNAcentral is "partial 16S ribosomal RNA". It matches the Rfam family "Bacterial small subunit ribosomal RNA", at positions 29 to 523 of the family's 1533-position model. The record is from RNAcentral.